This 505-nucleotide ribosomal RNA is filed under the name uncultured bacterium. RNAcentral describes it as "bacterial SSU rRNA". It matches the Rfam family "Bacterial small subunit ribosomal RNA", at positions 19 to 518 of the family's 1533-position model. The record is from RNAcentral.
CUGGCUCAGGAUGAACGCUAGCGGCAGGCUUAACACAUGCAAGUCGAGGGGCAUCGGGAGUAGCAAUACUGCCGGCGACCGGCGCAAGGGUGCGUAACGCGUGAGCAACAUGCCCGUAUCAGGGGGAUAAUCCAUGGAAACGUGGUCUAAUACCCCAUAGUAAUUAUGUAAGGCAUCUUAUAUAAUUUAAAGCUUUGGUGGAUACGGAUUGGCUCGCGUGACAUUAGCUGGAUGGUAAGGUAACGGCUUACCAUGGCUACGAUGUCUAGGGGUUCUGAGAGGAAGGUCCCCCCACACUGGAACUGAGACACGGUCCAGACUCCUACGGGAGGCAGCAGUGAGGAAUAUUGGACAAUGGAUGGAAAUCUGAUCCAGCCAUGCCGCGUGCAGGAAAGACGGCCCUAUGGGUUGUAAACUGCUUUUGUAUGGGAGCAAUAAGGGCUACGUGUAGUCCGAUGAGAGUACCAUACGAAUAAGCACCGGCUAACUCCGUGCCAGCCGCUGC